AGUGAACGCUGGCGGUAGGCCUAACACAUGCAAGUCGAACGGCAGCACAGCCCGAGCUUGCUCUUACGGGUGGCGAGUGGCGCACGGGUGAGGACUACAUCGGAAUCUACUUUUUCGUGGGGCAUACAGUAGGGAAACUUACGCUAAUACCGCACACGCACUACGGGUGAAAGCAGGGGAUCUUCGGACCUUGCGCGAUUGAAUGAGCCGAUGUCGGAUUAGCUAGUUGGCGGGGUAAAGGCCCACCAAGGCGACGAUCCGUAGCUGGUCUGAGAGGAUGAUCGGAAAGACUGCAGGGAGGGCACGCUGGAGAAGCCUACGCGAGGAGUGGUGGGGGAAGAUUGUGCAAUGGGCGGGAGCCUGCUCGAGCGAUACUGCGUGGCGCAAUGCGGAGGGCGCGUUGUAGAGCCCUUUUGUUGGGCACGAAGAGAGGAAGGUUAAUACCCCGCUGUGCUGACGGUACCCAAAGAAUAAGCACCGGCUAACUUCGUG
RNAcentral lists this ribosomal RNA (492 nucleotides) under uncultured bacterium. RNAcentral's name for it is "partial 16S ribosomal RNA". It matches the Rfam family "Bacterial small subunit ribosomal RNA", at positions 30 to 507 of the family's 1533-position model. The record is from RNAcentral.